Molecule: long non-coding RNA, 611 nt
Filed under: Homo sapiens (human)
Lineage: Eukaryota; Metazoa; Chordata; Mammalia; Primates; Hominidae
Description: HSALNT0367908
Source: RNAcentral
CCCCCGCGGCCUCGCCCCGCCCCCUUUAGCCUGGGCUUGAGCGCGCGCAGAAGUCAGCUUCGUGACUUCCUUCUCAGGAUGGAACCAGCUUGGUGGCUUGAGGGAAAGGGGUUCUGAGUUGCAAAUCAGAAACUUGAAGAUGAAAUGGCUACUACGCUGGGUAUUGCCUUUAUCUUGAAUGCCAGCCUGAUGGUCCAAGGUGAACAAGCCUUCCUGUGUUUUCUGAAUGUUCCCCCGCACUUUGCCUGCCACCAUGUAAGAUGUGUCUUUGCGCCUCCUUUGCCUUCCACCAUGAUUGUGCGGCCUCCCCAGCCAUGUGGAACGCAGACACAACUCUUCACCAGUGCACAAAACCUGAUGAGAAGGAUACAGACUGGAUUUUGGUCCAGCUUGCUGCUUAACUAGGUUCCCUUGCACAACGCACAACCUGUGCAAUGAUUAUGCAGUGAAAUUGAUGGCCAUUACCUAACGUGGCUUCAGUGACCAUGUUUUCAAAACUGGGAGUCAGAGUGCAUGGCUUGACAUCAAGGCUUUGUGUCACAAAGCAGAAGAUCAUUAAUCUGGGAGUUGACAACAUUGGAAGCACCUAAACAAGUUGAUUAUUCAUACAA